AAUAGAUACCCGGGUAGUCCACGCCGUAAACGAUGAGUGCUAAGUGUUAGAGGGUUUCCGCCCUUUAGUGCUGCAGCUAACGCAUUAAGCACUCCGCCUGGGGAGUACGGUCGCAAGACUGAAACUCAAAGGAAUUGACGGGGGCCCGCACAAGCGGUGGAGCAUGUGGUUUAAUUCGAAGCGACGCGAAGAACCUUACCAGGUCUUGACAUCCCACUGACCGGUAUAGAGAUAUACCUUUCCCUUCGGGGACAGUGGUGACAGGUGGUGCAUGGUUGUCGUCAGCUCGUGUCGUGAGAUGUUGGGUUAAGUCCCGCAACGAGCGCAACCCUUGAUCUUAGUUGCCAGCAUUUAGUUGGGCACUCUAAGGUGACUGCCGGUGACAAACCGGAGGAAGGUGGGGAUGACGUCAAAUCAUCAUGCCCCUUAUGACCUGGGCUACACACGUGCUACAAUGGAUGGUACAAAGGGCUGCAAGACUGCGAAGUCAAGCCAAUCCCAUAAAACCAUUCUCAGUUCGGAUUGCAGG
RNAcentral lists this ribosomal RNA (529 nucleotides) under uncultured bacterium. RNAcentral's name for it is "bacterial SSU rRNA". It matches the Rfam family "Bacterial small subunit ribosomal RNA", at positions 777 to 1304 of the family's 1533-position model. The record is from RNAcentral.